GACGAACGCUGGCGGUAUGCUUAACACAUGCAAGUCGAACGAGAAAGUACUCUUGAAAGCUUCGGCAGACAAGAGAACCGGAAAGUGGCGAACGGGUGAGUAACGCGUGGGCAACCUGGCCUCAAGAGCGGGAUAGCCCCUGGAAACGGGGAGUAAAACCGCAUAACAAUGCGAAAUGGCAUCAUUUUGUAUUCAAAACGAUAGUGCUUGAGGAUGGGCCCGCGUAUCAUUAGCUAGUUGGUGAGAUAACAGCCCACCAAGGCAACGAUGAUUAGCCGGUCUGAGAGGGCGAACGGCCACAUUGGAACUGAGAGACGGUCCAAACUCCUACGGGAGGCAGCAGUGGGGAAUAUUGCGCAAUGGAGAAGAACUCUGACGCAGCAAUACCGCGUGAAUGAAGAAGGCCUUCGGGUCGUAAAAUUCUGUUAUUGGGGAAGAAAGAAAUGACGGUACCCAAUGAGCAAGUCCCGGCUAACUACGUG
RNAcentral lists this ribosomal RNA (482 nucleotides) under uncultured organism. RNAcentral describes it as "bacterial SSU rRNA". It matches the Rfam family "Bacterial small subunit ribosomal RNA", at positions 28 to 507 of the family's 1533-position model. The record is from RNAcentral.